GCAGCCCGUCUGAAGUCCGAGCUCUCCUGUACACUUUAAAAAGGAAAAACGAAAAAAAAGCUCCAAGGCAAUCUUUCAGUCCUGUUUCCAGCAUGCCACUGCCAAGCAGAACCAUUGUACUUCUUGCUGCAUUCCCUGUGGUAUGGGCAGAUGGAUCUGAAAGUUAUCAGUGAGAAGUGAAAGUAACGCAGGCUGCACAGCCAUCUCUUGCUUUGACUCCUGUACAAAAUCCUCAGUCUCCAUUAUAAUAGUCCUUCCCUAGCUGACUACUUAGAGUCUGUCCUGGCACAACAAAGGAAGACCUGGCAGUUUCCUUUUGGG
Molecule: long non-coding RNA, 321 nt
Organism: Hirundo rustica (Barn swallow)
Lineage: Eukaryota; Metazoa; Chordata; Aves; Passeriformes; Hirundinidae
Exons: 3
Source: RefSeq, a predicted model, not a curated record